AAAUAAGUUGAGGCGUGNCGCAUCGGUGCUGCGUGGGGCCGCAGGGAAGCCGUUUAAGCGCGUCGGCUGGGGAGUACGGACGCAAGACUGAACUUAAAGGAAUUGGCGGGGGAGCACCACAAGGGGUGAAGCCUGCGGUUCAAUUGGAGUCAACGCCGGGAAACUUACCGGGAGCGACAGCAAAUUGAGGGUCAAGCUGAAGACUUUACCUGACGAGCUGAGAGGAGAAAGCAUAGAAAAAAAA
This 244-nucleotide ribosomal RNA is filed under the name uncultured crenarchaeote. RNAcentral describes it as "partial 16S ribosomal RNA". It matches the Rfam family "Archaeal small subunit ribosomal RNA", at positions 755 to 1005 of the family's 1478-position model. Lineage: Archaea; Thermoproteati; Thermoproteota. The record is from RNAcentral.